This 953-nucleotide long non-coding RNA is filed under the name Coturnix japonica (Japanese quail). RNAcentral's name for it is "lncRNA (ENSCJPG00005007940.1)". Lineage: Eukaryota; Metazoa; Chordata; Aves; Galliformes; Phasianidae. The record is from RNAcentral.
GAGCUCUUAAUCCUAAUCUCCCUUAUCAAUCGCAAAGGUCAAAUCACAGGUUACACUCUGUGUUUGUUUCCAUCCUCUGGGUCUCAGUUUUCAUUUCACUGGCUUGCUUUUGCUCCUAGGGAUUCUGUGAAGCUCUUAUCUGUGUCAGAUGCUGUACAAACAAAGGAAUCAAUUCCUUUUCCAAAGACCUGACAUCCAGCUUGAAGAUGGCAGUGAACUGCAAGCAUGGCUAGAACUCUGUGGUGUUUAAUUGUUAGGUUUCAAUCCAAGAUUUUUGAAGAAGAGAAUUAAUGUAUGGAGGAUAACAACUAGUUGUCUAAUUCCAUUAUUUAAUAUUUGCUUAUUUCUCCCUUUCUUUCUUUCUUUCUUGCUUGCUUGCUUUCUUCCUCUCUCUCUCUCUCUCUCUCUCUCUCUUUCUCUCUUCUUUUUAUAGUGUGUUUGUGUCCAUUCUCUGGAAGAAGCCCAGUGUUUAGCCAGCUGCUUUGUAUUAUUCAGGUGGAAGAAGGAACAAAGUCAUUUUGGUCUGGAAUACAGUGGGAGCUCCAGGAGCAGGAAAGAAGGGACAGCACACUGCUUCAGUCUCAGUCAUGACAUCCCUGAGAGGCAGUGCUUAUGAGGAGCAGGAAUGUGAAGGGACAGUUUGAAUAUUUGAUAGCACACUCCAAGUUUUCAGAGGCUGUAAGUGAUGGGCAACCCAGAGGAUUAUGUCAGGACACGGUCAUUUUAGGAUAUCCCCACAAGCUAUUGAAACAUUUCCCUCUUUUGGCAUUCAUGAUCUUGAUUUAUAAUCCUUAAUUUGUGUGGUCAGGAUGGUGCUGCUGGCAGAGUAACAGUCCUUACCACUCCUAAGCGUGCUGGGGCUGGUGCUUGUGCCUCAGCAGGGCACUUACUCUGUGGUCCCUAUGCCUCCCUUAGCCAGCUCCCUAUUCAUUACUUACUUCAGGAGGGUGUGA